Molecule: ribosomal RNA, 647 nt
Filed under: uncultured Dechloromonas sp.
Lineage: Bacteria; Pseudomonadati; Pseudomonadota; Betaproteobacteria; Rhodocyclales; Azonexaceae
Description: bacterial SSU rRNA
Rfam family: Bacterial small subunit ribosomal RNA
Source: RNAcentral
CCAUUUAGUACCGUAGCUAACGCGUGAAGUUGACCGCCUGGGGAGUACGGCCGCAAGGUUAAAACUCAAAGGAAUUGACGGGGACCCGCACAAGCGGUGGAUGAUGUGGAUUAAUUCGAUGCAACGCGAAAAACCUUACCUACCCUUGACAUGUCAGAAACUUGGCAGAGAUGCCUUGGUGCCCGAAAGGGAAUCUGAACACAGGUGCUGCAUGGCUGUCGUCAGCUCGUGUCGUGAGAUGUUGGGUUAAGUCCCGCAACGAGCGCAACCCUUGUCGUUAAUUGCCAUCAUUUAGUUGGGCACUUUAACGAGACUGCCGGUGACAAACCGGAGGAAGGUGGGGAUGACGUCAAGUCCUCAUGGCCCUUAUGGGUAGGGCUUCACACGUCAUACAAUGGUCGGUACAGAGGGUUGCCAAGCCGCGAGGUGGAGCCAAUCCCAGAAAGCCGAUCGUAGUCCGGAUUGCAGGCUGCAACUCGCCUGCAUGAAGUCGGAAUCGCUAGUAAUCGCGGAUCAGCAUGUCGCGGUGAAUACGUUCCCGGGUCUUGUACACACCGCCCGUCACACCAUGGGAGCGGGUUCCGCCAGAAGUAGGUAGCCUAACCGCAAGGGGGGCGCUUACCACGGCGGGGUUCGUGACUGGGGUG